UUAGUCUUUUAAUUUGAGACUGGAAUGAAAGAGUAAACUGAGAGGAUUUUUUUUAAUUUUAGAAAAUGAAUUUUACUUUUUAGUAAAAAGGCUAAAAUGUUUCUUUUAGACAAGAAGACCCUAUAAAACUUUAUAUUUUAUAUUUUUAGGAAAAAAAUAAAAUAUUUCACUGGGGCGGUGGAGAAAAGAAGCUUUCUCUAAAUUUAUGAACUUUCAAGUUUUUAUACCUAGAAAUUCUAAAGAAGGAAUGAGUUACUUUAGGGAUAACAGCUUAAUUCACUUAGAAAGUUCUAAUUGACAAGUGAGAUUAUGACCUCGAUGUUGAAUUAAAAUACCUCUAAUAUGCAAAAGUUAGGAGGA
RNAcentral lists this ribosomal RNA (360 nucleotides) under Lissothus occidentalis. Its description in RNAcentral is "partial large subunit ribosomal RNA". Lineage: Eukaryota; Metazoa; Arthropoda; Arachnida; Scorpiones; Buthidae. The record is from RNAcentral.